Molecule: RNA transcript, 2840 nt
Organism: Propithecus coquereli (Coquerel's sifaka)
Lineage: Eukaryota; Metazoa; Chordata; Mammalia; Primates; Indriidae
Gene: TRO
Gene name: trophinin
Exons: 15
Source: RefSeq, a predicted model, not a curated record
AGAAGCACAUUCCUCCCAGGGAGAAAGGGAGAAUCAAAGAGGAACAGGGAUACAGGGUAGAGAAUAGAGAAAUCAAAUGGAGAAUAAGAGGGUGUGAUUGAUGAAUAAGGGGUGGUGACCAGAAAAGAGGAGUUACAUUGAGGAGAAUGGAAAGUUGAAAGUAGGGAGCAGAGGAAGAGGCUGACAGGCAGGGAUGGAAACCCCCCUCUGGAGGCGGAAACAGGCAGGACCACUUCCGGCCAGGGAGGUGGGGGGGAUAAGCUCAGACCUAAGGAGAGGCUUGGAGAGAGCAGACGCCUUCUGGACUCAGGAGGACGAGGCUCAGCUGUUACUUGGCCUUCCAGACAGAUGGAUAAGAGAAAUGACUACAGUUAUAGGAUGCCUCCAUUCCAGGGCCCUCUGCCUCCCCCUGGGAGCCUGGGGCUUCCCUUCCCUCCAGAUGUACAGACUGAGACCACAGAAGAGGACAGUGUCUUGCUGAUGCACACCCUGUUGGCGGCAACCAAGGACCCUCUGGCCAUGGACUCAUCAGUUGCCAACCAGCCUAAGAAAAGCAGGACCAAGAAGGCCCCUAUAAAGACUAUUACUAAGGCUGCACCUGCUGCCCCUCCAGUCCCAACAGCCAAUGAAAUUGCCACUAACAAGCCCAGAAUAACUCUGCAGGUUUUAAACUUGCCAAUCAUCACCCAGAUUAGCCAGGUUUCAGCUAUCACUGGGGCAGCCAAUAUUCAGGCUUCUUCAAUCACUGCUCAGCCUAAGAAAGCCAACAGGAUGAAGAGAGUUACUGCCAAGGCAGCCCAAGGCUCUCAAUCCCCAACUGGCAGUCAGGUUGUCACUACACAGCUGAAGUCACCUUUGCAGGUCCUAAACCUACCAGUCAUCUCACAGACUAUCCAGGCUCCAACUGCCAGUGAGUCAGCCAAUUCCCAGGCUUUGAUAGCCUCCACCAAGCCUAAGAAAGCUUCUAAGGCCAAGAAGGUUGCAAACAAAGCCAUAGCUAAUGCCACUGAGAUGUCACCAGCUCCAAUUGCCACCUAUACAGCUACCACUCCAGGCCAAAUUAUCAGUGAGACAGUCAAUAUCCAGGCCACAGCAGCCUCCAUCCGAACCAAGAAAUCCUGUAAAGCCAAGAAGACAACUGCUAAGACCACAAAUACUGACACUGAGCAUAUAGGGGCUCCAAAUAUCACCAGACAGAUUGAAGCCUCAGCAGCAGCUAUCCGGCCCAAAAAAUCCAAGGGCAAGAAGGCUGCCAAUAAGGGCCCAAAUUUUGCCUCUGAAAUCUUUAAGGCCCCACCUGCCACUCAAAUGGUCACAAACCAAGCACUAGCAGCCAACCUUUGGGUCAAGAGAGGGUCUAGGGCUCAGAAUACUGCCACUAAGGCUCAGGUAACUGAAAGCCUGACUCAAAUUAGUGACCAAGGGGCAAAGGCCAAGAUGGCCACAGCUCAGACCACCAUAAGUGCCCUUGAGACACAGGUUGCUGCUGCUGUCCAGGCCCUGGCAGAUGACUAUCUGGCUCACUUAAGUCUGGAGCCCACGACCAGGACUCAGGGCAAGAGGAACCAAAAGUUCAGGCAUCUGAAUGGGGAUGAGAGAAGUGGCAGUAAUUACAGGCGGAUCCCAUGGGGCCGGAGGCCUCCACCACACCGAGAUGUGGCCAUUUUGCAAGAAAGGGCAAAUAAGUUGGUGAAAUACCUGUUGGUUAAGGACCAGACAAAGAUCCCCAUCAAGCGCUCAGACAUGCUGAAGGAUGUCAUCCAAGAAUGUGAUGAAUAUUUCCCAGAGAUCAUUGAACGAGCAAGCUAUGCUCUGGAAAAGAUGUUUCGAGUCAAUCUGAAGGAAAUUGAUAAGCAAAGUAGCUUGUAUAUUCUCAUCAACAAUCAGGAAUCCUCUGCAGGCAUACUGGGAACGACCAAGGACACACCCAAGUUGGGUCUCCUCAUGGUGAUUCUGAGUGUCAUUUUUAUGAAUGGCAACAAGGCCAGUGAGGCUGUCAUCUGGGAGGUGCUACGCAAGUUGGGGCUGCGCCCUGGGGUGAAGCAUUCACUGUUUGGGGAAGUAAGGAAGCUCAUCACAGACGAGUUUGUCAAGCAGAAGUACCUGGAGUACAAGAGGGUCCCCAACAGCAGACCACCUGAAUAUGAGUUCUUCUGGGGCUUGCGCUCCUACCAUGAGACUAGCAAGAUGAAAGUCCUCAAAUUUGCAUGCAAGGUGCAGAAGAAAGACCCCAAGGACUGGGCUGCUCAGUACCGGGAGGCAGUGGAGAUGGAAGUCCAAGCUGCAGCUGUGGCUGUGGCCGAGGCUGAGGCCAGGGCUGAGUGGUUCCAACACCAGCAAUGGCUUUACUGGAGAACCCAGCACCAGCACCGGUUUCAGUAGUAGACCCAGUUCUAUUGUUGGCUUCAGCGGUGGACCAAGCACUGGUGCUGGCUUCUGCAGUGGACCAAGCACCACUGGCUUCAGCAGUGGACCGAGCACCGGUGUUGGCUUCGGCGGUGGACCAAGCACCGGUACUGGCUUCAGCGGUGGACCGAGCACUGGUGCUGGCUUUGGUGGUGGAGCCACCAGCCUUGGUGCCUGUGGCUUCUCCUAUGGCUAGUGAGGUUUCAGGUUUAUUCCCCAGGUUUACAGAUACCGCUAAUGAAUUGCAGCAGUCCUUCCUGUGGAUUCAAGGUACAUCCAUGCAAUCUUUGUCCACACAUCAGUCUAAGCAGCUAUGACCAAUCAGCUGAGGGUGACAUACUAUGAAAAAUCUGUUUUCUGUUUCUGCUUUAUUGUUUGCUUUCUGUACGCUGUCAUAUUUUGCUAUCAGAGUUACAUUAAAUUUGCAAAAUGAA